This 625-nucleotide long non-coding RNA is filed under the name Numida meleagris (helmeted guineafowl). Its description in RNAcentral is "lncRNA (ENSNMEG00000011566.1)". Lineage: Eukaryota; Metazoa; Chordata; Aves; Galliformes; Numididae. The record is from RNAcentral.
UUCAGUGAUCCUUUCAGUGGAUGUUUUCUCAGCACUGUAUGUUGAGAGACGAUGAAGCAUGAAGGGCCACUGAACCAGUUCACAAGGAGGAUUACUAGCAACAUGCAGCUAAAGCUACACAUACACACCACGAGGUAGUUUUACAUGGAAUCCAUUUAUCUGAGAUAAUAAUUCCACCAUGAAACAGAUGAGAUAAAACCACCCUCCAGGAAUAUCCACCAAUCUGUAUGCAGGUGGCAGAGUGUGUCCUGAAGCAACCAGGUCUCUUAACUGUCUGGAGACGGGUCUCCAGGAAAUUCUUCUAUAGGGACUUCUGUUGACAUCUUAUUUACAGGAAGAUCACUGGGAUUUUUACAGUUGCUUGUGAUUAGACCAAGGUGUUAUCCCUGGCAUGGUGGACACAGCUCAAGACCCCCUUUGCAUUCCUCAUCAGCCCAGUGAGUGCUCACCGAGACACGCUCCGGACUUCCUUAAGCUCUAGUGCAUGAGAGGCUGACUGCCCGUGGAAGGAUCUAGCUCUCAGAUUUUGGUCUGCUCACCAACCUUACCAGUCCCUGAAUUCAUCUUAGAGGAGAGAAGGGCCAUUGAUGCUGGCUGCUAGGAUCCCUGGCAAGUGGCAGUGCUG